CGUGACGUCAUCCGCGGGCGCUGGGCGACGGCGGCCAAUCGGAGCGUGCGGUGACGUAACCGGCAACCAAUGGGCGGAGGACGACGCGAUUACGUCACGUCGCAGGGCCCUAGUAACCAAGAUGGCGGCGGGAACGGCGACGGCGGUUGUGAGGAACAAGAAGAAUAAUAAAAAGGAGGAGGAGGGGCAGCGGCGGCUCCUCCACGCGCUGGUCCCGCCCUCUCGCUCUACACUCACCGGAUGGAGGCGGCCGCACGUGAACUGAGCGGCUCCGUCAGCGGCUCCAAGGACUCCCUGAUGUU
Molecule: long non-coding RNA, 302 nt
Organism: Amblyraja radiata (thorny skate)
Lineage: Eukaryota; Metazoa; Chordata; Chondrichthyes; Rajiformes; Rajidae
Exons: 3
Source: RefSeq, a predicted model, not a curated record